GCUUUAUAAUAUCUUUCACUACAAGGCAAGAGUUGGCUUCAGGUCAAGUGUUGCUUACGCCACGGCUUGAGUAUUAAAAUGUAUGUGUAGCAGUUCGUUAUGAGAGCUAUCACUGUACACACGGUAGGCGCAUGUAGCGUAUAUCGUAAAGAAUGCGUUGUCGAGCGACCUGCCCCUCAAAAGUACACCAGCCCUGAGCUCGACUGAAUGCCAAAUGGUCUCAAAUGAACCACAUUUGCGCACGUUCCAUUGACACUCGUCGCGGUGGCAUUAGAAGGCAGCACCACAAGCCACCAACAUCAGAGUCAGAGUUAGCUUCAGCUUCAGCGGCGCGGCUCGGCUCAGGUAACCAUUAGCUGGUUACUUGACUCGUGUUGAGGUUAUAAACGGUGGCUGUCACCCAAACGUAUCGAUUGGAGGCCGCACAUACACACACACACACACACACACACACUGGCGCCUCAUGGCACAUUUAAUGACACACAGGCGGCAAAAAGACCUGACCGCAGCGCAAUUUGAGGCGACGCGUGGACAUGACAGCUUAUCAGCUGCUAAAAAAUAAUAACAAAAAAUAAAACAAAAACAACAACAUUGCGUCAGGCAAAGUCGAGCCGAGCUGAGGCUGAGGCAAUGGGCACGGCGCAUGGCUGUGCGCCCCCUCGUGUCGCAUGCGCUGCUAAUGUUGAUGAUAUAGCCAACAUUUAAAAUAAACCAAAAAUAAACAAAAAAAAAAAAGGCAUAAAACAGGCAAAAUAAUACUCUAGGCAAUAAUGCUCGACUAGAGGUUACCCAGGCAAGUAGCCCAGUGUAAUGUAUAAUACAUUUUAGUAUAUACAAAAAACUACUUCAGAUUUGAGUAAAAUAUUGAAUAUAUCGAAAUAAUAUGCUUUAAUAUUUGUAUACCAAAAAAAUAUCAAAGUUGUGGUCAGAAAAGCAAGCCUUUUUUAUUGACGUUAUGAGAAAUAGAAUUAUGUAUAUGGAUAAGUCAGAUCGACAUUUUCAUACAUACGAACAUUGUCCUGUCCUGUCGUAUAUAAUGUAAAGAUGCUUCCUUCUGCCUGUGCUACAUACUUUUAAGCAAAAUCAUGAUACCCUUUCUAGCCAUUUUUAAAAAUCGUUUCUUUUGUUGGCUUUUUAUAUUAAAGCAAACUUGGACCGACGACAUUUUGAAAUCACAUGUUAUUGUUCCAAACAAAAAAGAAAAAAAAACCAUAUAUAUCUCAUAAUAUAGGAUAUACCCUAUACAUAUACUCUACAUGAAUCAAGCGUUAAUAAUUAAUAGAUUUGAUAACGUUAUGACGUCGUAUUUUGAAUGGUUUACAAAAUUAAUUUGCCCAUUGUUUGCGCUUGUAAUUCGCAACCAAUUCUAGAACAGGCUUGAACUAGUUGGAUGUAACUGUUAAUCCAAUUGGAAUACAACAAAUAUUUAAGGUGUCAUGGAAAAACAUGAUGAGUUAACGCCAACUGUACAACUUUGUAACAUUCAAGUGUUAAAAGCAGAACUUGUUAAGUAGAUAAUUUAUAAGUGAUUUAUAUGAUACAUCAUAUUCAAAACUUAUGUGUGUAUCAACUACAAAUUACAUCGACUAUUUAUCAUUCGAUAAUUUCAAAUGCAAAUGUGAAUUCGGAUGUUAUUUGUAUUUGGCAAUUCAUUUUCACUUUUAAAAUAUUUGCCAUAGGAACUUUUUGGGUGAAAAUAAAAAAUCCAUAAUACAAAUUAAAUAAAGUGAUGGAAAUUUUGAAGCAAUUGAGUUUCGCAAUGUCAAAAGAUAUGAUAAUAAUGGAUUAAGGUUGAA
This is a long non-coding RNA of Drosophila virilis, 1796 nucleotides long. RefSeq lists it as uncharacterized. NCBI's taxonomy places the organism in Eukaryota, Metazoa, Arthropoda, Insecta, Diptera, Drosophilidae. The record is from RefSeq and is a predicted model, not a curated record.